Molecule: long non-coding RNA, 390 nt
Organism: Daphnia magna
Lineage: Eukaryota; Metazoa; Arthropoda; Branchiopoda; Diplostraca; Daphniidae
Exons: 2
Source: RefSeq, a predicted model, not a curated record
GAAAAAGAAACAGCUGAUGAAGUUGGCGAUCACGAGAGAGAGAGAGACGGUAGGAUUUUCGAACAAAACAAUGUAUUCGAAAGAACGUCUGUUUCAGGAAGGAGGAGCCCGACUCGCCCACUUAACGUUGACAUGGCCUGUGAGAAAAUGCACUUCUGUUUGAGCCUCUUUUUAUGCUGCCGGAUCGUCGGAAUAAUAGGAGACUUAGGAAACGACUCGAUUCAACAUCGAAACAAUUUUAACCGGUUAAAGGAAAGGGCCAACGCAAUAGGUUUAGCGUUUGCUCUAGGCGCCUCAGUUAUACGUUUCUACGUGAAAACAGUGGAUGUCUAUAUUCUUUGAAUAAGAAAUGGUCUUCGUUUCUAAUAAAAUCUGUUUAUCGAAACCUUA